GAUGAACGCUGGCGGCGUGCCUAAUACAUGCAAGUCGAGCGAACGGACGAGAAGCUUGCUUCUCUGAUGUUAGCGGCGGACAGGUGAGUAACACGUGGAUAACCUACCUAUAAGACUGGGAUAACUUCGGGAAACCGGAGCUAAUACCGGAUAAUAUUUUGAACCGCAUGGUUCAAAAGUGAAUGACGGUCUUGCUGUCACUUAUAGAUGGAUCCGCGCUGCAUUAGCUAGUUGGUAAGGUAACGGCUUACCAAGGCAACGAUGCAUAGCCGACCUGAGAGGGUGAUCGGCCACACUGGAACUGAGACACGGUCCAGACUCCUACGGGAGGCAGCAGUAGGGAAUCUUCCGCAAUGGGCGAAAGCCUGACGGAGCAACGCCGCGUGAGUGAUGAAGGUCUUCGGAUCGUAAAACUCUGUUAUUAGGGAAGAACAUAUGUGUAAGUAACUGUGCACAUCUUGACGGUACCUAAUCAGAAAGCCACGGCUAACUACGUG
RNAcentral lists this ribosomal RNA (497 nucleotides) under uncultured bacterium. RNAcentral's name for it is "partial 16S ribosomal RNA". It matches the Rfam family "Bacterial small subunit ribosomal RNA", at positions 28 to 507 of the family's 1533-position model. The record is from RNAcentral.